AUGAACGCUGGCGGCGUGCCUAAUACAUGCCAGUCGAGCGAACAGACGAGGAGCUUGCUCCUCUGACGUUAGCGGCGGCCGGGUGAGUAACACGUGGAUAACCUACCUAUAAGACUGGGAUAACUUCGGGAAACCGGAGCUAAUACCGGAUAAUAUAUUGAACCGCAUGGUUCAAUAGUGAAAGACGGUUUUGCUGUCACUUAUAGAUGGAUCCGCGCCGCAUUAGCUAGUUGGUAAGGUAACGGCUUACCAAGGCGACGAUGCGUAGCCGACCUGAGAGGGUGAUCGGCCACACUGGAACUGAGACACGGUCCAGACUCCUACGGGAGGCAGCAGUAGGGAAUCUUCCGCAAUGGGCGAAAGCCUGACGGAGCAACGCCGCGUGAGUGAUGAAGGUCUUCGGAUCGUAAAACUCUGUUAUUAGGGAAGAACAAAUGUGUAAGUAACUAUGCACGUCUUGACGGUACCUAAUCAGAAAGCCACGGCUAACUACGUG
RNAcentral lists this ribosomal RNA (496 nucleotides) under uncultured bacterium. RNAcentral's name for it is "partial 16S ribosomal RNA". It matches the Rfam family "Bacterial small subunit ribosomal RNA", at positions 29 to 507 of the family's 1533-position model. The record is from RNAcentral.